This 301-nucleotide ribosomal RNA is filed under the name uncultured bacterium. RNAcentral describes it as "partial 16S ribosomal RNA". It matches the Rfam family "Bacterial small subunit ribosomal RNA", at positions 509 to 807 of the family's 1533-position model. The record is from RNAcentral.
CAGUCGCCGCGGUAAUACAGAGGGUGCAAGCGUUAAUCGGAAUUACUGGGCGUAAAGUGCGCGUAGGUGGUUUGUUAAGUUGGAUGUGAAAUCCCCGGGCUCAACCUGGGAACUGCAUCCAAAACUGGCAAGCUAGAGUAUGGUAGAGGGUGGUGGAAUUUCCUGUGUAGCGGUGAAAUGCGUAGAUAUAGGAAGGAACACCAGUGGCGAAGGCGACCACCUGGACUGAUACUGACACUGAGGUGCGAAAGCGUGGGGAGCAAACAGGAUUAGAGACCCCAGUAGUCCCUGUCUCUUAUAC